This 486-nucleotide ribosomal RNA is filed under the name Pseudomonas aeruginosa. RNAcentral's name for it is "bacterial SSU rRNA". It matches the Rfam family "Bacterial small subunit ribosomal RNA", at positions 41 to 523 of the family's 1533-position model. Lineage: Bacteria; Pseudomonadati; Pseudomonadota; Gammaproteobacteria; Pseudomonadales; Pseudomonadaceae. The record is from RNAcentral.
GGGGGGCCUACACAUGCAAGUCGAGCGGAUGAAGGGAGCUUGCUCCUGGAUUCAGCGGCGGACGGGUGAGUAAUGCCUAGGAAUCUGCCUGGUAGUGGGGGAUAACGUCCGGAAACGGGCGCUAAUACCGCAUACGUCCUGAGGGAGAAAGUGGGGGAUCUUCGGACCUCACGCUAUCAGAUGAGCCUAGGUCGGAUUAGCUAGUUGGUGGGGUAAAGGCCUACCAAGGCGACGAUCCGUAACUGGUCUGAGAGGAUGAUCAGUCACACUGGAACUGAGACACGGUCCAGACUCCUACGGGAGGCAGCAGUGGGGAAUAUUGGACAAUGGGCGAAAGCCUGAUCCAGCCAUGCCGCGUGUGUGAAGAAGGUCUUCGGAUUGUAAAGCACUUUAAGUUGGGAGGAAGGGCAGUAAGUUAAUACCUUGCUGUUUUGACGUUACCAACAGAAUAAGCACCGGCUAACUUCGUGCCAGCAGCCGCGGUAA